Molecule: ribosomal RNA, 465 nt
Filed under: uncultured bacterium
Lineage: Bacteria
Description: partial 16S ribosomal RNA
Rfam family: Bacterial small subunit ribosomal RNA
Source: RNAcentral
GACGAACGCUGGCGGUGUGCUUAACACAUGCAAGUCGAACGGUAAGGCCCUUUCGGGGGUACACGAGUGGCGAACGGGUGAGUAACACGUGAGUAACCUGCCCUCAUCUCUGGGAUAACAGUCGGAAACGGUUGCUAAUACUGGAUAUGAGCCUGCAAGGCAUCUUGAGGGUUGGAAAGAUUUUUUGGUUGGGGAUGGACUCGCGGCCUAUCAGCUUGUUGGUGAGGGAGUGGCUCACCAAGGCUUCGACGGGUGGCCGGCCUGCGCGGGCGACCGGCCACAUUGGGACUGAGAUACGGCCCAAACUCCUACGGGUGGCAGCAGUGGGGAAUAUUGCACAAUGGACGGAAGUCUGAUGCAGCAACGCCGCGUGCGGGAUGACGGCCUUCGGGUUGUAAACCGCUUUCAAUUGUGACGAAGCUUUUUGUGACGGUAGCAGUAGAAGAAGCACCGGCUAACUACGUG